AACAAAAUAUGCGAGGAUGGACGACAAUAAUAAGGUGUCAAUAUUACAGCUCAGUUCAAUAAUUUGGGCUAAGUAUGUGUGUCACGCCCUGAGAACGGGCCUAGGCGAGACAGCCGCCGCGAGCCUAUAGACCGCGAGGCCUAUAAGGCGUGAUUAAGCAGGCAUAAACCAGCAGUGGAUCACAAAAGCUCAUAUAUUUACUUUUACAAAUUCUUUACAUUUACAAACAUCUCAAAUAAAUCAGUCUAUAGUCGCUUCCCACCCACUGGUCCAGCCUAAUUUUAGAUGACGACAUCUUCUGAACAUGCUUAAGUUACAUCGUCUGCAUCUAAAAAAUUAGAGGAAGCAAGGGUGAGUAUGACAAUUCAUACUCAGCAAGCAGAAGCAAGGGUGAGUAUGACAAUUCAUACUCAGCAAGCAGACACUUCACUAUUCAACAAGGAGCAAUGAUAUGACGGUGUAGAUCAACAGAUAAACUAAAUUCAAAGGAUAACAAGGUAAUGACCAUUGGAAUCGUAUGUAAAUGGACAAAAGAACAAAAAUACUAGAUUUAGUGAAAACAACAAGGAUUUUUAUUGGCGUCACACAUGACCGCAAGCUUCCCGACCCGGGAGUCACAGGGGUGAAAUUUCACACUUUUACACUCUUAAGAGAGGUACUCCGACGUCGACAGCCUCGGCCAGAACCACAUAGGUUCCAGAAGAGCAGAGCUCUUUGAUCCCUCAAGAACCGACCACCCGACUUACUAGCGUCGAUCGCUCCUUCGGAUCCAUCAUCGACACGCUUCUGAACGACUGUCGUUCCUAGCGGAGAGCUCAGACAGUCCCAUACCUAAGUUGUGACCGGUACUAUACAUUUGCCGUCAUGACACCAAUAAAUGGAUAUGUGGUUGAGUCAACGAUAGGAUCACUGAAAUAUCAGUCAAAGACAAUACACUCAUGACUUUUCAUGAGUUCCUCCAAAAUACUCUGAUUCCACUAACAGAUUACGAGGACUACAUGUCACUCUCUCAAUUACAACAAGGAUCAACGGAUGAUCAAUAAAGAUCAUGGUGCAACAAUAUAAUCAGAUAAUCAAAGGAAGAUAACGGAUUUGAGAGUUAGUAAAGAAGCUACUUGCCUUAGUAACAAGAUUUCUCCUUUAAAAUGGACGCGGAGUUUUGGCUCCCGAGCUCAUCUGCACCCACGCUCAGAAAAAAAAUCAAAACAAAUACUAGAAAAAUUCAAAAAAUUCCAAUAUUUUUUGGGUGAUAGAUAAUUUGACGCGCGAGAUCCGCUCCAAACUUCAACUCAUUUGAGCAUCUGAGCAGCUCUCGGCAAAAAAGACAAAAUCGGGGUCUGUAAAAAUGUUUACUGUUCACGCAUUGUUCUGACCCGAUUUGUCUUUUUUGCCGAGAGCUACUCAGAUGUCCAAAUAAGUUGAAAUUUAAAGCAAACCUCACACAACGGAUUAUCUGUGACGCCCCCGACGCCCCCGAUUUGACCGUACACUAAUCAUGCACGCAAAUGUGUACGAUCAAGAUCAGGGACUCACGGGAAGAUAUCACAACACAACUCUACAACAUAAAUAAGUCAUACAAGAAUCAUAAUAUAAGUCAGGGGCCCCGAGGGCUCGAAUACAAUUGCUCGAUCAUAGACGAGUCAGCGGAAGCAACAAUAUCUGAGUACAGACAUAAGUUAAACAAGUUUGCCUUAAGAAGGCUAGUACAAAAGUAGCAACGAUCGAAAAGGCAAGACCUCCUGCCUGGGACCUCCUAACUACUCCUCGAAGCCGAACUCCAUGUAGAAACAUCCUCGGGAUCUCUAGCUCCUGGACUCCAGCAUCUGGUUGCGACAAUCAGGUAUAGAAAGGGGAAAAGAGGGAGAAAAGCAACCGUGAGUACUCAUCCAAAGUACUCGCAAGCAAGGAUCUACACCACAUAUGCAUGGGUAUAUGUGUAAAGGGCCAUAUCGGUGGACUGAACUGCAGAAUGUCAGAAUAAGAGGGGGAUAGCUAAUCCUGUCGAAGACUACGCUUCUGGCCACCUUCAUCUUGCAGCGUGUAGAAGAGAGUAGAUUGUAAGUUCACCAAGUAGCAUCGCAUAGCAUAAUCCUACCCGGCGAUCCACUCCUCGUCGCCCUGUUAGAGAGCGAUCACCGGGUUGUAUUUGGCACUUGGAAGGGUGUGUUUUAUUAAGUAUCCAGUUCUAGUUGUCAUAAUGUCAAGGUACAACUCCGGGUCGUCCUUUUACCAAGGGACACGGCUAUUCGAAUAGAUAAACUUCCCUGCAGGGGUGCACCACAUAACCCAUCACGCUUGAUCCCAUUUGGCCGGACACACUUUUCUGGGUCAUGCCCGGCCUCGUAAGAUCAACACGUCGCAGCCCUACCUAGGCACAACAGAGAGGUCAGCACGCCGGUCUAAACCCUAUGCGCGCAGGGGUCUGGGCCCAUCGCCCAUUGCACACCUGCAUGUUGCGUACGCGGCCGGAAGCAGACCUAGCUCCCUUAAUACAAGCGCGAGCUUACGGUCCAAUGCGGCGCGCGCCACUCAGUCGCUGACGUCACGAAGGCUUCGGCUGAUACCACGACGUCGGGAUACCCAUAACUACUCCCACGUAGAUGGUUAGUGCGUAUAGACCAAAUGGCCAGACUCAGAUCAAAUACCAAGAACUCGUUAAGCGUGUUAAGUAUCCGCGAACGCCGACCAGGGCCAGGCCCACCUCUCUCCUAGGUAGUCUCAACCCGCCCUGUCGCUCCGCCACAAAGUAACAGUCGGGGGCCGUCGGGAACCCAGGCCCACCUCUACCGGGAUGGAGCCACCUGUCCUUUCAGCCCCCUCAUUCAGUCGCACUUGCGGGUACUCAAUGAGCCGACCCAACUUUAGUCACCACACGUGUCAUAUAUAUAGUAUAUAAGUAUAUACCCGUGAUCACCUCCCGAAGUGAUCACGGCCCAGUAGUAUAGCAUGGCAGACGGACAAGAGUGUAGGGCCACUGAUGGAAAACUAGCAUCCUAUACUAAGCAGUAGGAUAGCAGGCAAGGGAAACAGCUGUAGCAACAAUGACAGGCUAUGCAACAGAAUAGGAUUAACCGAAAGCAGUAACAUGCUACACUACUCUAAUGCAAGCAGUAGAGAGUAGAGUAGGCGAUAUCUGGUGAUCAAGGGGGGGGGGCUUGCCUGGUUGCUCUGGCAAGGAGGGGUCGUCGACAGCGUAGUCGGUCGGGGCACCAGCAGCGGCGUCGGUCUCGUAGUCUACCGGAGAAGACGGGAAGAAACAAUAAAUAUAAUGCAAACAUAAGCAUGACGAUGGAAGACAUGUCAAUGCGCGGUGCUAGGUGUGCCCUAACACGGUAGGAGGUGGUACCGGGAAAGGGGGGAAACAUCCGGAAAAGUAUUCCCGGUGUUUCGCGUUUUCGGACAGAUGAACCGAAGGGGGAAAGUUGCGUGUUUGCUAUGCUAGGUAUGUGUGGCGGGCGAACGGGCUGCCUAUCCAGAUUCGUCUCGUCGUUCUGAGCAACUUUUAUGUACAAAGUAUUUCCAUCUGACUUACGGUUUAUUUUAUAUGAUUUUUUAAAAUUUUAUAACAUUCUAGAAUUUAUUUUAAUUCGAAAACAUUUACAGCGUCAUCAUGACGCCAGCGGUCAAAGUUGACCAUUGACCAGUCAACUGACUGAUGGGUCCCAUUUGUCAUUGCCUCCACACUAAUUAAAGAGUUAAUCACUAUAAUUGGGCAGGUUAAUUAGGUUAAGUUAAUUAACCUAAAUUAGUUAAGUUAAUUAAUUUAAUUAAUUAAUUAAUCUAAUUAUUAAUUAUAUUUGUUAUCUCUUUUUUUUGUUUAUGGGGGAGGGCCCCACUGUCAUUUGCUAGCAGUUAACCUACUAAUAAUUAACCCCUAAGCUAAUUUGCACGGCUGGCCGGUGGUGGCUGUGCCUACACACGCACACCACAUGUGCUUGAACAUGGCCACGUCCAUGGCCAUUAGCAGCAACUAGCACCGGCUGGAGCAGCAACUAACAGCGGCAGCUGGAGGAAUUAGCAGCAGCAUCUAGGAGCAGCCGUAGUCUAGCUAGAGCAGCAGCGGAGGCUACGCAGAAGAGUAGCAGUAUGCAGCAACUAGCACCGCCGCAAGCCGUAGCAGUACAGCGCCGCAGCAGCAGCAGCAUGGCAGGGCGCGGCCGACGUGUGGGCGAGGCGGCAGCGGGCAUGCGCGGGGUGGCCAAGGGCGUGGCGGGAGCGCGGGCAAGGCUAGGCGGGCGCGGCCAGGAGCAGCAACAGUAGGCACACACGUAUGUACGCAUACGCGCGAGCUCGGAUGAGCUCGGGACAGAGGCUAUGGCAAUGAAUCGAAGGGGCAAGCAGGGGGGAAUAGAGGAGGAGCUCACUACGGUGUUGUAGGGACAGGCAACGGGCUCGGGGAGGCUCCAGCGGCGGCGAAUCGAAGGUGGCGACCGGCGAUGUAGAAGGUUGAAGACGGGGCUGGAUCCGGAUAUGGACAGGGGCCAGCUUGUUCCAGUGGGCGAGGAAGUCGAAGAAGACGCCGACGGAGCUUCUGGACACGUCGGUAGGCUGCGGGGUAGACGGUCGCUGCGGAGGAGUGCGACGAACGGCGACGGAGACGCUCGGGAUGGUGGGGGAGAGAGAGCGAUGCGAGGCGGGGAAAAGAC
Molecule: long non-coding RNA, 4646 nt
Filed under: Triticum aestivum (bread wheat)
Lineage: Eukaryota; Viridiplantae; Streptophyta; Magnoliopsida; Poales; Poaceae
Description: long non-coding RNA (TAES_LNC017676)
Source: RNAcentral